RNAcentral lists this ribosomal RNA (776 nucleotides) under uncultured eukaryote. RNAcentral describes it as "SSU rRNA". It matches the Rfam family "Eukaryotic small subunit ribosomal RNA", at positions 566 to 1338 of the family's 1831-position model. The record is from RNAcentral.
GCCAGCCGCCGCGGUAAUUCCAGCUCCAAUAGCGUAUAUUAAAGUUGUUGUGGUUAAAAAGCUCGUAGUUGGAUCUCGGCGGUCUGAGGGCGGUUCGCUUGAUUGAGUGCUACUGCUCUAUAGGCCGUGGUUUUGCCAGAGGUCUCGGGGUGCUCUUAACCGAGUGUCCUGCGAUGCUGGCAGGUUUACUUUGAAAAAAUUAGAGUGCUCAAAGCAGGCUUUUACGCCUGAAUAUUCGUGCAUGGAAUAAUAGAAUAGGAAGUCGUUUCUAUUUUGUUGGUUUUCGGAAAUCGACUUAAUGAUUAAUAGGGACAGUCGGGGGCAUUUGUAUUCAAACGACAGAGGUGAAAUUCUUGGACCGUUUGAAGACAAACUACUGCGAAAGCAUUUGCCAAGAAUGUUUUCAUUAAUCAAGAACGAAAGUUAGAGGUUCGAAGGCGAAUAGAUACCGCCCUAGUUCUAACCAUAAACGAUGCCAGCUAGCGAUCUGCCGACGUUUUCUUUGUAGACUCGGCAGGAAGCUUCCGGGAAACCAAAGCAUUUGGGUUCCAGGGGAAGUAUGGUUGCAAAGCUGAAACUUAAAGGAAUUGACGGAAGGGCACCACCAGGAGUGGAGCCUGUGGCUUAAUUUGACUCAACACGGGAAAUCUCACCAGGCCCGGACACUGGAAGGAUUGACAGAUUGAUAGCUCUUUCUUGAUUCGUGGGGUGGUGGUGCAUGGCCGUUCUUAGUUGGGUGGAAGUGAUUUGUCUGGUUAAUUCCGAAUAACGAACGA